CAGUCGCCGCGGUAAUACGAAGGGGGCUAGCGUUGUUCGGAAUCACUGGGCGUAAAGGGUGCGUAGGCGGAUUUUUAAGUCAGGGGUGAAAUCCCGAGGCUCAACCUCGGAACUGCCUUUGAUACUGGGGAUCUUGAGUCCGGAAGAGGUGAGUGGAACUGCGAGUGUAGAGGUGAAAUUCGUAGAUAUUCGCAAGAACACCGGUGGCGAAGGCGGCUCACUGGUCCGGAACUGACGCUGAGGCACGAAAGCGUGGGGAGCAAACAGGAUUAGAUACCCCAGUAGUCCCUGUCUCUUAUAC
RNAcentral lists this ribosomal RNA (301 nucleotides) under uncultured bacterium. RNAcentral's name for it is "partial 16S ribosomal RNA". It matches the Rfam family "Bacterial small subunit ribosomal RNA", at positions 509 to 807 of the family's 1533-position model. The record is from RNAcentral.